UUAAGUUCAGCGGGUAGUCCUACCUGAUUUGAGGCCAAAAUGAUCAAAUUGUCCAAUGAAGGACUAUUAGAAGCUAAACAAUCCGAGCUACACAGUGACGACAUUAUCACACCGCAUAUAUGCUGCGAAUCAAAUUCCAGCUAAUGCAUUCAAGGGAAGCCGAUAAUGAAACCAGCAAUCCCCAAGUCCAAGCUCACCCU
Molecule: unclassified non-coding RNA, 200 nt
Filed under: Xylodon sp.
Lineage: Eukaryota; Fungi; Basidiomycota; Agaricomycetes; Hymenochaetales; Schizoporaceae
Description: partial internal transcribed spacer 2
Source: RNAcentral